RNAcentral lists this long non-coding RNA (798 nucleotides) under Callithrix jacchus (white-tufted-ear marmoset). Its description in RNAcentral is "lncRNA (ENSCJAG00000076127.1)". The record is from RNAcentral. Lineage: Eukaryota; Metazoa; Chordata; Mammalia; Primates; Cebidae.
GUAAGACAAAAAAAUCAGAAAAUUUAUAAAAAGAAAAGUUUAUUCAAAUUAGACUCAAUACUCUUAAUUGCAGUGCUUAAAAUACACUUUAGAAUAUAAAUAUUUUAGUUUGGUGUUAUAUUUUUUUUCUAGGGUUUCUCUAAUGUGGUAACACAAACUGGUGGCCUAAUACAAUGGACAUUUUUUCUUUUACACUUUCUAGAGCCUCCUGCAAAAGCAAGGCGUCAGCCGGCCCAUGCUUCCUCUGCAGCUCUGCAUGGAAUCCUGACCUUGCCUCUUACUGGCUUGUGAAGGUGGCCAUUGACCUUUGGCAUUCCUUUGCUUCUGCAGCUGCAGCACUUCCUCUCUUCCCCAGUUGUCAUGUGGCAUUCUUCCUAUCCUGGUGGAGUGUGUACUUAUUUAGAUGAAGCCUGGAUGGUUUGUGAACACCGAUUCUGCUCUUAUGGAGCUUCUCGGUACUGGCACUGAAUGGUGUACCUUAAAGUGAAGGUAAAUGAGCCCUGGAUGGUGACUUUUCUCCUUUUCACAAGCUUCCUGUGAGUCUGCUCUCCUAUCCUAAUCGAGAUAGAUCUCCAUUUCUUUCUUUAUAUCCCUUGCAUCUUUUCUCAUCUCCUUGCCUCCUUUAAAGUCCCUCGACAGGUUCAUCAAUUUUACCUAAAAUAGUUCUUUUUUUUUUUUUUUGAGAUGGAGUUUUGCUCUUGUUACCCAGGCUGGAGUGCAAUGGCGUGAUCUCGGCUCACCGCAACCUCCGCUUCCUGGGUUCAGGCAGUUCUCCUGCCUCAGCCUCCUGAGUAGCUG